AGAGUUUGAUCCUGGCUCAGGACGAACGCUGGCGGCGUGCUUAACACAUGCAAGUCGAGCGGAAAGGCCCUUCGGGGUACUCGAGCGGCGAACGGGUGAGUAACACGUGAGUAACCUGCCCUAGGCUUUGGGAUAACCCUCGGAAACGGGGGCUAAUACCGAAUAUUCAUGCUGGACGGCAUCGUUUGGUGUGGAAAGUUUUUCGGCCUGGGAUGGGCUCGCGGCCUAUCAGCUUGUUGGUGGGGUGAUGGCCUACCAAGGCGACGACGGGUAGCCGGCCUGAGAGGGCGACCGGCCACACUGGGACUGAGACACGGCCCAGACUCCUACGGGAGGCAGCAGUGGGAAUAUUGCACAAUGGGCGGAAGCCUGAUGCAGCGACGCCGCGUGAGGGAUGAAGGCCUUCGGGUUGUAAACCUCUUUCGACAGGGACGAAGCGCAAGUGACGGUACCUGGAGAAGAAGCGCCGGCCAACUACGUGCCAGCAGCCGCGGUAAGACGUAGGGCGCGAGCGUUGUCCGGAUUUAUUGGGCGUAAAGAGCUCGUGGGCGGCUUGUUGCGUCAGCUGUGAAAACCCGCAGCUCAACUGUGGGCUUGCAGCUGAUACGGGCAGGCUUGAGUUCGGUAGGGGAGACUGGAAUUCCUGGUGUAGCGGUGAAAUGCGCAGAUAUCAGGAGGAACACCGGUGGCGAAGGCGGGUCUCUGGGCCGAUACUGACGCUGAGGAGCGAAAGCGUGGGGAGCGAACAGGAUUAGAUACCCUGGUAGUCCACGCUGUAAACGUUGGGCGCUAGGUGUGGGGGGCCUCUCCGGUUCUCUGUGCCGCAGCUAACGCAUUAAGCGCCCCGCCUGGGGAGUACGGCCGCAAGGCUAAAACUCAAAGGAAUUGACGG
RNAcentral lists this ribosomal RNA (892 nucleotides) under uncultured Actinomycetes bacterium. RNAcentral's name for it is "SSU rRNA". It matches the Rfam family "Bacterial small subunit ribosomal RNA", at positions 8 to 916 of the family's 1533-position model. Lineage: Bacteria; Bacillati; Actinomycetota; Actinomycetes. The record is from RNAcentral.